GGACGCGACGGCGGGGGUACAAAGCCGGAAGCGGCUCCCGCGCGGGAGAGCGGCGGCUGCUCCAGCAUCCAGAGCAAGGGAGAGGCUAGAGCGGCGCGUGUCCCCCGCCGGGGCUCCGACAGCGCCCGGCCCGGGCUCGGCGCGACAGGCGGCUCCCCCCCCCGCCCACGGAACGGGUAAGCAGAGGGAGCCCAGACCCACUUCCUGAGCUCUGAGACUGUUCAAUCAAGUCUUUCAGGGAUUCCCCUGGAGGAAUUUCAUAAGCCAGGGGGGGAAAAAGUGACGUUGGGAAGAAAUGUGAAGCAGACAAAGUUUAAAUUCUUCCGACUUACCUGAAGUAACAGAAUAUGAUGAUAAGUACCAGGAGUAUACUGCAAACGGUCACUGAGAUCAGCAAGGCCUUAUGGUGAAUGUUUCCUUCAACAAAAUCUGGUUUAAAGAUAAAAAAAAAGAAGCUUUGUACAAUGGCUGUAUUUUUGUCUUAGGAGUCAACACUACUCUCUCACACCUGAAAUGUCUUUCACAUUCUGCCUUCCUGGAUUUAGUUUCACAUGUAAAAAGACAUACAAGAGUUUAUAAAUAUAUUAAGCAA
Malaclemys terrapin pileata is the source of this 592-nucleotide long non-coding RNA. RefSeq lists it as uncharacterized. The transcript is spliced from 3 exons. Lineage: Eukaryota; Metazoa; Chordata; Testudines; Emydidae. The record is from RefSeq and is a predicted model, not a curated record.